CCGCGCUAAGCGGGGAGCUGGCGAUGCCCUGUACCUGCGAUCGCCUAGCAGGGCCUAGAUCCCCGCCCGAGGCGAACCGUGUUCGGUGGAAACCGGUAAGGGAGCGUUGAUAGCCUGGUCCCGGGCAAUGGGAUCCCGUGAAUCGUGUCAGGGCCGGGAGGCAGCAGCACUAAGCGGGUAACCCCAUGUGCCAUCGGGGUGGCCGGGCAGGAGCCGACUGCCGGGAGUUCGCCGGGUUCGGUCCCGUCGACGGCGGGGUGCGCGG
RNAcentral lists this signal recognition particle RNA (265 nucleotides) under Rubrobacter sp. RNAcentral describes it as "signal recognition particle sRNA large type". It matches the Rfam family "Bacterial large signal recognition particle RNA". Rfam says of the family: The signal recognition particle (SRP) is a universally conserved ribonucleoprotein involved in the co-translational targeting of proteins to membranes. Archaeal SRP consists of a 7S RNA and homologues of the eukaryotic SRP19 and SRP54 proteins. In most bacteria, the SRP consists of a 4.5S RNA and the Ffh protein (a homologue of the eukaryotic SRP54 protein). The record is from RNAcentral. RNAcentral also lists the same sequence under 1 other name. Lineage: Bacteria; Bacillati; Actinomycetota; Rubrobacteria; Rubrobacterales; Rubrobacteraceae.